GCGGGAAUAGUUCAGUGGUAGAACACCACCUUGCCAAGGUGGGGGUCGAGAGUUCGAAUCUCUUUUCCCGCUC
Molecule: transfer RNA, 73 nt
Filed under: compost metagenome
Description: tRNA-Gly
Rfam family: tRNA
About the family: Transfer RNA (tRNA) molecules are approximately 80 nucleotides in length. Their secondary structure includes four short double-helical elements and three loops (D, anti-codon, and T loops).
Source: RNAcentral